Molecule: long non-coding RNA, 3642 nt
Organism: Oncorhynchus tshawytscha (Chinook salmon)
Lineage: Eukaryota; Metazoa; Chordata; Actinopteri; Salmoniformes; Salmonidae
Source: Ensembl
CUGUGACACAAAGUUGAAUCGUCAGUUCACAUUGGAAUUUAGGGGAAUUCCAAUAGUUGCCAACUAAAUAGUUGACUGAGAAAAGGCCAUAAUGUCCCUCUCUUUCUAAGAGUGAAAAAAUAACAUGGUGUUAAUGGAGAGAGAUGAGUCAUGGAGACAGAUCAGAGCCACAGCAGCGUGCACCAGGAGUUCAACACGGUCCGCGUGUGCUGUGUUGCCUGACAACUUUUUACAAGCUAGCUACGUUAGCUGACAUGAAUAAAAACAAACGUUGCUGGAGAGCUUCUUCGGAAGGGGUAAGGGAGGUAAAAGGUCCAACGACGAUGUCAAUAAUGCAGAGACAGCAGAGCCCGAGACUGCCAAAAAAAGCAAGCUUCAUUCAAUAUAAAAUAUGAUCAGUCCUACCUAAAAUAUGGCUUUAUUGCGACUCACAUGCUCCAAGCCCCGUGUGUAGUAUGUGGAGCUCUAACGAGGCAAUGAAGAACUCAAAACUGCUUCGGCACAUCGAAUCCAAACACCCUACACUUAAAGACAAAACUGUUGAAUACUUUGAGCGAAGAAAACGUGAACAAGAAGGACAGAAGCAAGUUUUGAAAGUCACCGCAUCAACAAACGUGGCUGCACAGAGCUUCAUACUUAGUGGCUAGCUGUAUUGCUAAGGCCAAGAAGCCUUUCACUAUUGACGAGGAGUUGAUUCUACCUGCUGCUAAAGGACAUUUGCCGUGAACUCUUAGAAGAGGCUGCGGCUAAAAAGAUAGCACAGGUUCCUCUUUCGGUUACCAACCUUCACUAAGAUAAUUGAUGAAGUAGCGGAGGACGUUGAGGCACAAUUGUUAGAAAGGCUUUAACGAGUCACCGUGGUAUGCAAUCCAGGUUGACGAAUCUACCGAUAUCGACAUCAAGGCAAUACUGCUUGUUUAUGUGCGAUAUAUAUUUCAGGAUGAUGUGCAUGAGGAUUUGGUGUGUGCGCUGUCCCUGCUGACUAACACAGCGGCCGCAGAGCUAGUCAAAUCUUUGGAUGAUUACAUGUGAGGAAAAUUGGAUUGGUCAUUCUGCAUUGGCGUAUGCACGGAUGGGGCUGCUGCCAUGACUGGACGGCUGUCUGGUUUCACUACCCGGGUUAAAGAUGUUGCGCCUGAAUGUGAGUCUACGAACUGUCAUUCACAUAGAAAUGCUGGCUAGCCGAAAGAUGUCACCUGAAUGUAACGUCGUAUUGAAUGAUGUUAUUAAAGUUAUGAAUCACAUCAAAGCACACGCCCUUAACUCGCGUCUGAGGAAAUGGACGCAGAGCACAAACGCCUUCUCUUAUACACAGAAGUCGGAUGGCUAUCCAGGGGGAGAUCGCUUGCCAGAGUAUUUGAGUUACGAGAGACGCUGCAGAGAUUUCUUUCAGAAAAAAAAGUCACCACUGCCAGCACAUUUCAAUGACGAGGAAUGGGUCGCAAAACUCGCUUACCUGUGCGACAUAUUCAACCUGCUCAACGAACUCACUGUCACUUCAGGGGAGAAUGACAUCUGUCUUGAAUUUGGCAGAUGAAGUGGUUGUAUUCAAAGCCAAACUAGAACUGUGGGGACGGUGAGUGGACAGGGACAUAUUUGACAUGUUCCAAACAUUAGUGGAGAUUUUGGGAGAGACUGAGACCAGGCCGUCUUUCUUCCAGCUGGUGCGCGAUCACCUAGCUUCACUGUCAACGAAGUUCGAGCAUAACUUUCCAACCGCCAAAGACCCACAAAAUGCACAGGGAAUGGAUCCGCGACCCAUUUGUGAAUGUCCCAGGUGAACCGUCCAUGUCCGUGCAGGAAGAAGAUCAACUACUUGAGGUUGCAAAUGACGGUGGCCUUAAAAGUAUGUUUGAGGUAACUUCAUCUCUGCCGAACUUCUAGAUUAAAAUCAAGGCUGAAUAUCCUGAGAUAGCCACAAAAGCACUGAAAACGUUGCUUCCAUUUCCAACAUCCUAUUUCUGCAAAGCAGGGUUUUCCGCAAUGACGCCAAAAAAACGCAAUUACGGAGUAGACUGGACAUAAGGAACAUGUCACUGUCUCCCAUCACCCCUAGAUUGGGACCAUCUUGUUGCCGGGAAACAAGCUCAGGGCUCCCACUGAUUCAGCAACAUGCCGUUACAGACCAGGAAUACGACUUUCCCGAAGCGGAUCCUCUGUUCGGCCUACCACCCAGGACAAUGGAUCGGAUCCCAGUAGGCGACCCAAAACAACAGCGCCGCAGAAGGGGCGCUGUUAACCUUAGUUAUGGUUAAGGCUGUCUGUUAUUAGCUAUUGUUAAGACUGUCUGUUAUUAGUUAUUGUUAAGACGGUCUGUUAUUAGUUAUUGUUAAGACGGUCUGUUAUUAGUUAUUGUUAAGACGGUCUGUUAUUAGUUAUUGUUAAGACGGUCUGUUAUUAGUUAUUGUUAAGGCGGUCUGUUAUUAGUUAUUGUUAAGGCUGGCUUCUCAGAUACUUUUAUCUCUUAUCUUUUUAAAACACACAGAGGAUGUAGAAAAACAUUGUCACUAAACUGUAUUGUACAUACAAACACAGGCAGAAUACACAAACACAGGCAGAAUACACAAGCACAGGCAGAACACACAAACACAGGCAGAAUACACAAACACAGGCAGAACACACAAACACAGGCAGAAUACACAAACACAGGCAGAACAUACAAACAGGCAGAAUACACAAACACAGGCAGAAUACACAAACAGGCAGAAUACACAAACACAGGCAGAAUACACAAGCACAGGCAGAAUACACAGGCAGAAUACACAGGCAGAAUACACAAACACAGGCAGAAUACACAGGCAGAAUACACAAACACAGGCAGAAUACACAGGCAGAAUACACAAGCACAGGCAGAAUACACAGGCAGAAUACACAAACACAGGCAGAAUACACAGGCAGAAUACACAAACACAGGCAGAAUACACAAGCAGAAUACACAAACACAGGCAGAAUACACAAGCACAGGCAGAAUACACAAGCACAGGCAGAAUACACAAACACAGGCAGAAUACACAAACACAGGCAGAAUACACAAACACAACCCUUCUACGGGUUUUACAUUCAUAAAAGAAACUCACCGCAUCACAUGAUUUACAUCAUUCUACAUAGUCCUAAUAAAUAUUAUCUGUUGACUAUGAAUAUAUAAUCUUUUAAACAUAUUUACAAUCAAGAUGACUUUAAUGGCCCUUAGCAGCCUACGUGUAGACUAGAUUACCAUCUGGUGGUCAUAUUCACAUAUCUGUUAAAGUUGUUUUAAACAAAUAAAUAUAUGUAUCCAUCCCCAAGAGGAAGACUAUUAGCUGUACUGCUACAGCAGUACAGAGGACCAAAUCACCAUAUACUGUAUAUUCUGAAAGACUGAAAUGUAAUGCUAAUGGGGAGAGUUGGGAACCGUGCUCUGGUUACCUCGGAAUAGAGUAGAUAUGUAGGCUUGCUUGCCCCAUCUAUAGUUCUGAUGAUGUGGUAGGUUGAAAGUCAGGCUCUUGCUUGUUGUAGUUUGUUAUUGAGGAUAGUGUAGAGUAGUGUAUGCUGUUCAAAAGACUGCUUUAGGGCCGAUGUACACAACAUCCAACAAUUUCAAAGAUUUUCAAAGAGUUACAGUUGAUACAAAGAAAUCAGUCAAUUGAAAUAAAUUCAUUAAGC